This 253-nucleotide ribosomal RNA is filed under the name uncultured bacterium. Its description in RNAcentral is "partial 16S ribosomal RNA". It matches the Rfam family "Bacterial small subunit ribosomal RNA", at positions 524 to 776 of the family's 1533-position model. The record is from RNAcentral.
UACGAAGGGGGCUAGCGUUGUUCGGAAUUACUGGGCGUAAAGCGCGUGUAGGCGGGUCUUUAAGUCAGGGGUGAGAUGCCAGGGCUCAACCUUGGAACUGCCUUUGAUACUGGAGACCUUGAGUCCGGGAGAGGUGAGUGGAAUUGCGAGUGUAGAGGUGAAAUUCGUAGAUAUUCGGAAGAACACCAGUGGCGAAGGCGGCUCACUGGCCCGGUACUGACGCUGAUGUGCGAAAGCGUGGGGAGCAAACAGG